This 328-nucleotide ribosomal RNA is filed under the name uncultured eukaryote. Its description in RNAcentral is "partial 18S ribosomal RNA". It matches the Rfam family "Eukaryotic small subunit ribosomal RNA", at positions 1470 to 1796 of the family's 1831-position model. The record is from RNAcentral.
CCCUUAGAUGUUCUGGGCUGCACGCGCGCUACACUGAAGCGUUCAACGAGUAUUCACCUUGCCCGGGAGGGUUGGGUAAUCUUUUGAAAACGCUUCGUGAUGGGGAUAGAUUAUUGCAAUUAUUAAUCUUCAACGAGGAAUUCCUAGUAAGCGCGAGUCAUCAGCUCGUGCUGAUUACGUCCCUGCCCUUUGUACACACCGCCCGUCGCUCCUACCGAUUGAAUGGUCCGGUGAAGCGUUCGGACCGUGGCCUUUGGACGGUUCGCCGUCUGUUGGCUGCGGGAAGUUCGUUAAACCUUAUCAUUUAGAGGAAGGAGAAGUCGUAACA